Molecule: RNA transcript, 5551 nt
Organism: Dipodomys ordii (Ord's kangaroo rat)
Lineage: Eukaryota; Metazoa; Chordata; Mammalia; Rodentia; Heteromyidae
Gene: Papolg
Gene name: poly(A) polymerase gamma
Exons: 23
Source: RefSeq, a predicted model, not a curated record
UAUUGGCGUCGGCCGCGCUGUAUUGUCAUAAAUAGAGCCGGUUUUGUGGUGUUUUCACUGCUCGGUUGGGUGCCUCAGCAGUAGUGAGCGCGGAAGUGAGAGCGCGGAGCGAGCUCGGAGCGACGGGAGGAAAGCCGACAGAGGGACUCGGACUCCACAGCGAAAAGACAGGGAGACGCAGGAAGCGAUGAAAGAAAUGUCUGCAAAUACCAUGCUGGACAGCCAGCGUCAACAAAAGCAUUAUGGAAUAACUUCUCCAAUAAGUUUGGCAUGUCCUAAAGAAAUUGACCAUAUUUACACACAGAAAUUAAUUGAUGCCAUGAAACCAUUUGGAGUAUUUGAAGAUGAGGAAGAAUUGAACCACAGGCUUGUUGUUCUUGGUAAAUUGAAUAACUUAGUAAAAGAAUGGAUUUCUGAUGUCAGUGAGAGUAAGAAUCUUCCACCUUCUGUUGUAGCCACUGUGGGUGGUAAAAUUUUCACAUUUGGAUCCUACAGACUGGGAGUACACACCAAAGGAGCUGACAUUGAUGCACUGUGUGUAGCUCCAAGACAUGUGGAAAGAUCUGAUUUUUUUCAGUCUUUUUUUGAAAAACUGAAACAUCAAGAUGGGAUUAGAAACCUAAGAGCUGUUGAAGAUGCUUUUGUACCUGUUAUAAAAUUUGAAUUUGAUGGUAUUGAAAUUGAUCUCGUCUUUGCAAGACUGGCAAUACAAACUAUAUCAGAUAAUUUAGAUCUAAGAGAUGACUCUCGCCUCAGAAGCCUUGAUAUAAGGUGUAUUCGCAGCUUAAAUGGAUGCAGAGUUACUGAUGAGAUUUUACAUUUAGUGCCAAAUAAAGAAACUUUUAGACUCACCCUCAGAGCAGUCAAAUUAUGGGCAAAACGUCGUGGUAUUUAUUCCAACAUGCUGGGUUUCCUUGGUGGAGUCUCCUGGGCCAUGCUAGUUGCCAGAACUUGCCAAUUGUAUCCAAAUGCAGCAGCAUCAACUUUAGUUCAUAAGUUUUUUUUAGUUUUUUCCAAAUGGGAAUGGCCAAAUCCUGUGCUCUUGAAACAGCCAGAAGAAAGCAAUUUGAAUUUGCCUGUCUGGGAUCCUCGGGUAAAUCCAUCAGAUAGAUACCAUCUCAUGCCCAUAAUCACCCCUGCCUACCCACAACAGAAUUCUACAUAUAAUGUAUCCACAUCAACUCGAACAGUAAUGGUAGAAGAAUUUAAACAAGGUCUUGCAGUUACAGAUGAAAUUCUUCAAGGGAAAUCAGAUUGGUCCAAACUACUUGAGCCACCAAAUUUCUUUCAAAAAUAUAGACAUUAUAUAGUAUUGACUGCCAGUGCAUCAACAGAAGAACACCAUCUAGAAUGGGUUGGAUUAGUAGAGUCUAAAAUCCGUGUACUUGUUGGAAACUUGGAACGGAAUGAAUUUAUUACUCUUGCCCAUGUGAAUCCCCAGUCAUUUCCAGGAAAUAAGGAACACCAUAAAGACAACAAUUACGUAUCAAUGUGGUUCCUCGGGAUAAUUUUUCGGAGAGUAGAAAAUGCAGAAAGUGUUAACAUAGACUUGACAUAUGAUAUACAGUCAUUUACUGAUACAGUGUACAGACAGGCAAACAAUAUAAAUAUGCUGAAGGAUGGAAUGAAAAUUGAAGCAACUCAUGUAAAGAAAAAACAACUUCAUCACUACCUUCCAGCAGAGAUUCUUCAAAAGAAGAAAAAGCAAAGUCUCUGUGAUGUCAGUCGAAGUUCAGGUGGAUGUCAAUCCAAAAGAUUAUCUCUGGAUAGCAGUUGUCUGGAUAGCUCCAGAGAUACUGACAAUGGAACACCUUUUAAUUCUCCGUUGUCUACAAACAAACCUUCCAAACCAGAUAGCCCUCCUGGAGAAACAGAAAGGACUAGUGCUGAGCCUGCUAGUAUAAUUGUGGAGAAGCCACUGCAUGUCCCACCAGCUCAAGGACUAUCUAUUCCAGUCAUUGGUGCAAAGGUUGACUCUACGGUAAAAGCUGUAUCGACCCCAGCUGUGUGUACCAUUCCUACUGUAGUAGGACGAAAUGUCAUUCCUAGAAUCACAACAUCCCACAACCCUACCCAGGGACAACCACAUCUAAAUGGAAUGUCAAAUAUAGCUAAGAAUCUUAUACCCAAAAGAUCCCAUUCCCCGUCCAUAGAUGGAACUUCUAAGAGGUUGAAAGAUAUAGAAAAGUUUAUUCGACUUGAAUCAGCAUUUAAGGACCCCCGUGUUGCUGAAGAGAGAACAGGAAAAUCAGUGGAUACUAUUGGAGGAGAAUCUAUGCCUAUUCCAACUAUUGAUACAUCACGUAAAAAGAGACUACCCAGUAAAGAACUACCAGAUUCAUCAUCUCCAGUUCCAGCAAAUAACAUACGUGUUAUCAAAAAUUCCAUUCGAUUGACCCUUAAUCGGUAAAAGCAGUAUCUCCUCACUUAUGUGAACAUGCAGUCAGAUAGUGGCAUAGGUGCAGCUACUUUUCAAAGUAGAAAUGGCUGCCAUCCAUAAAAUAGCAGUUAGUAGGUCCAGCAGGAAAAACACAAGUGGUACAUUUUGUGAGGGGGAAAUACCUGGAUGUUUGCUUUAUUGGACUCAUGGGAUGCCAUCUAGUUCAUGCAGGUACAGAAAUCUGUUUUACUUGCAAACCCUUUACCUUUGAGUUUAAGUUCUUGAAUUCAGGUUGUCAGAGUGUAGUACUAUCUCUUUUCCACUCCUUUUUCUUGACCCCAAAGUCUCUGAUGUGAAAAUUCUUAAGUUUUAACUUUUACAAAGGAAACAUAAAGAAACGAAGAAAAGCAAUGAAAAAAAAAAAAAAGAUUGUUCUACUAUUCAUUUUUUACACAGCAGCAAAAGACAAGAAUGAAAUCUCAUCACAAAGAUACAGCUUCUGUUUAGCCAACCUCUUUCUUAAAUUCAGAUAUUUUGCAUUUGUUCUAUAAGUACUGUAUUUGAACAAAAGUAAACCUAGGACCUAAUAAUUGUCAUAUAACUUUGAAUUCUGAAAAUUUAUUUGGUAAUGGAUUUGAUUAAAUUUUAUAUUUUUGAUACAUAUACAUUUGUAUAUUUCGUAUCCUCUGCUUUUAAAUCAGCCUUUACAGUCUCUUAAGAAUUCUUUAUGUAUCCGUAAGGAUACUGUUUUGGAGUGAUGAGUUUCUUCUUCAGGAAUAAACAAGUCUAGUCCUAUACUAUCAUAGAGUCAUUUCUCUUGGAUUAAAGUUUCAUUCACCAUGCUAUUCAGACAUCGUCAAUAAUUGAACAUCAGAAUCAUUAAAGACAUUAUUAUUCAACCUACUUGGCAACUUCUGAGUUAAUCAGCUGCUUUAGAGAUGGUAGGUUUGUUCUGAAAGGAAGUGUUUUCCUAUAAUGACCAGUAGAAAGGACUUUCAUUACAUUUCAUUAUCAUAGUGGGAGGCCUGUUUGAUUUGUUCCAAGUAAAAGGAGAAGAUAGGGCGUAGAAUUAAAUGUUACAUUCAGAGGUAUUAACUACAUGUGUUUCAUACUUGUUUCAAGUGUGAAACUAUAACUAGAAAUAUAUUCUAUGAACUCAGCCCAUUCUUUAACAUAGACACAUGUUGUUUUCAUAAAGAAUUAAUCUGCUCACUUUUAAAAGACUGGUUCUAGAAAAUGGCAUAUAUCAAAGGGAAAAAAUAGUUAUAUGUUGCUUUAAACUUCAAAAACAAUUUGAGACCAAAGGUACUAUGAUAACAUCUUGUAAAACGGGGGCAGGAAAACAAAUUUUCAAAGUUUAUAUUGGUGCUAAAAAAAGACUUUUUUUCCCUUAAGGCAGCCAUUUGUUAGUAUUAUUUAAAUGCUUACUAUGGUAACAGUGAAAAUGGCAGUGUCAAAAGGGCUAAAAUUAACUUUUCACUAUGUUCUACAGUUUUGAAAUAGGAAAUCCUAACUUGAGGAUCAUGAAUCUUUAGGAAUUCCUUUGUAUCAUUAUAUAUGUUUUUAUUUAUAUGCAAUUCUAGAGGGAAGUUCAUAACUUUCAUCAGUGAUUCAUGACCUCCAAAAGGGGAGCAGAGUAGGAACCACCAGAAUUGAACAGUCCUAGAAUAUUAACAGUUUUCGCCAUUCGAUUUCACUGCAGUAUAUUUCUAAAAAUGUACUGUAGCUCUUAACUAAUAAAAGGGGCUGGUACAGUUUCAUAAACAUCGUGUUUCUAAGGUUCUUUAUAGACUUCAGAUGAAAAGGCAAUGUGGCCUGUGUAUUGAAAAAUGUUUAUCAUUAGAUUUAGAAGUGUUCUCAUGUUAGGUUCAUUAACAAGGUCAAAUGCAAGUGUCAUAAAUUUAACUGAAAGGUGGGCCAAGGGAAUACCUUAGAGUAAUUAUUAGAAGUGGUAACAAAUAGAAGAUCCUAACCUUUGAACUUAAUAGCUUUAAUGUUCUCACUUGGUCCUCCCAAGUUUAUUCAUUCUAGAACAGACUGAACAGAUGAAUAAAUACAAAUUCUUUAGUUCUAAAUAUCUAUUUUUAUAUAAAUAAAAUUGUAUUUAACUAGACAACUACCUAAUAAAUUGUCCAAAGUGUAUCAUUUAAAUCAGUUGUGAACAGAACAAAUAAUGUAGAUAGAUGAUGGAAGGAAACCAGUCUCGAUAGUGGUAAUUAUUUCCUUAGGGUUUUCUGAAAGAAUUGUACAAGGUCCCCUCUCUAAUUCCCUAUAUUUUUUCUGGAAUAAUUUUUAUAUAAUCUUUUGAAACUAGUUGAAUAUAAAGUUAUUCAGUUUAUGGUAAUUUUUAAGCUACUGCUACAUUGUAGCAAAGACCCAUGCAAUUAUUUUAUAAACUACUUAGGAUAUCUUUAUAAAUGAUACAACAUCAUCCCACAGUAUUCUGUAAAAUGAAUGCAGCUGCUGUUGCUUUCUAGACAGCUGUUUAUAUAGUCCACAGUAAUUUUUCCUGCCAUUUAUUUGAAUUGUCUUAUUUCUUAGUUGUACACAUAAGCCUUAUUUAUCUGGAAUAAGUAAUCAAAUAAACUUGCUUUGAUAAAUAGGUGAUGGUUGAGUGAUAAUUGAGAGUAACUCAAAAGUACCAGAAGUCUUCAUAGUUUUUCCAACAACCAAUUAGCUAGGUAAUGUUAUUUACUAACUUUCUAAUAUGGCAAAGGUCAGACUAUUUGCCUUACCCAGAAUUUCUCAUUAAACAUUUAAUAGCAAGUAGUAACAGCAGUUUAUAUACCUGGCUCUUAAGUUUAAAGAAGUCUCAAUGUCCUUUUAGAUUAUCUGACCACACUUUUCAUGAAUAGGUCACUUGAGGCAUCUGUGUCAAAUAUUACAGGAAAAAUCCUGUCAACUUUGUGGUCAGCCUAAGCCAAUCAGAAACUUAAUGGCUGGACACAGGUGCAUUUAGCAAUCAAGCCUAGGGUAAUAUUCCUAGAAGCACAGAGCCUGUUACAUUAUUAUACCUCUUGGUAGCACAUGCUGUCAUCCUAGCUAUGAUAAGCAAAAAAUAGGAUUAUGGUCCAGCUACUGCCCAGGGCAGGAAGCAAUACCCUACCUCACAAAAUAAAAGUGUGCAAUGAAAUUAAGAACAGUAUUAAAGUGUUUGCAUUUUACUGUUUA